AUGCUACGAUUAGUGUUCAGAUCGGUGGCCAUCACAGAGCGUGCCGACCGACCUGCAAUCGCCAACCACGACUACCCCCGGUUGCGACCCGACUGUCCGACCACAAAUUCGCGCAAUAAUCAACCAGAGACAUCCCCACCGACGCUUCAGCCCUUGACAACACACGACUCCGCCGCCCGGUUACCAUCACCGACUUGUAUUUUGUUAUUCCUUUUUGAUUUUUGUGAUUGA
Vicia faba (fava bean) is the source of this 231-nucleotide non-coding RNA. NCBI's taxonomy places the organism in Eukaryota, Viridiplantae, Streptophyta, Magnoliopsida, Fabales, Fabaceae. The record is from the annotation of a GenBank genome assembly.